AGCGAACGCUGGCGGCAGGCUUAACACAUGCAAGUCGAGCGGGCACUUUCGGGUGUCAGCGGCGGACGGGUGAGUAACGCGUGGGAACGUGCCCUCUGGUUCGGAAUAACUCAGGGAAACUUGAGCUAAUACCGGAUACGCCCUUUUGGGGAAAGGCUUGCUGCCGGAGGAUCGGCCCGCGUCUGAUUAGCUAGUUGGUGAGGUAACGGCUCACCAAGGCGACGAUCAGUAGCUGGGCUGAGAGGAUGAUUAGCCACACUGGGACUGAGACACGGCCCAGACUCCUACGGGAGGCAGCAGUGGGGAAUAUUGGACAAUGGGCGCAAGCCUGAUCCAGCCAUGCCGCGUGAGUGAUGAAGGCCUUAGGGUUGUAAAGCUCUUUUAUCCGGGACGAUAAUGACGGUACCGGAGGAAUAAGCCCCGGCUAACUUCGUG
Molecule: ribosomal RNA, 435 nt
Filed under: uncultured bacterium
Lineage: Bacteria
Description: partial 16S ribosomal RNA
Rfam family: Bacterial small subunit ribosomal RNA
Source: RNAcentral